ACCGGCCCCAUGCAGGGCACCGCUCUCCUAAGGCGGGUGUCGCGGGUUUGAAUGCUGCCGGAGGUG
RNAcentral lists this transfer RNA (66 nucleotides) under Actinomadura chibensis. Its description in RNAcentral is "tRNA-Arg". Lineage: Bacteria; Bacillati; Actinomycetota; Actinomycetes; Streptosporangiales; Thermomonosporaceae. The record is from RNAcentral.